This 552-nucleotide ribosomal RNA is filed under the name Oerskovia sp. K2011. RNAcentral describes it as "bacterial SSU rRNA". It matches the Rfam family "Bacterial small subunit ribosomal RNA", at positions 125 to 690 of the family's 1533-position model. Lineage: Bacteria; Bacillati; Actinomycetota; Actinomycetes; Micrococcales; Cellulomonadaceae. The record is from RNAcentral.
CCUGCCCCAGACUCUGGGAUAAGCCUUGGAAACGAGGUCUAAUACUGGAUAUGAGAUGCCCCUGCAUGGGGAGUGUCUGGAAAGAUUUAUCGGUCUGGGAUGGACUCGCGGCCUAUCAGCUUGUUGGUGGGGUAAUGGCCUACCAAGGCGACGACGGGUAGCCGGCCUGAGAGGGCGACCGGCCACACUGGGACUGAGACACGGCCCAGACUCCUACGGGAGGCAGCAGUGGGGAAUAUUGCACAAUGGGCGCAAGCCUGAUGCAGCGACGCCGCGUGAGGGAUGAAGGCCUUCGGGUUGUAAACCUCUUUCAGCAGGGAAGAAGCGCAAGUGACGGUACCUGCAGAAGAAGCGCCGGCUAACUACGUGCCAGCAGCCGCGGUAAUACGUAGGGCGCAAGCGUUGUCCGGAAUUAUUGGGCGUAAAGAGCUCGUAGGCGGUUUGUCGCGUCUGGUGUGAAAACUCAAGGCUCAACCUUGAGCUUGCAUCGGGUACGGGCAGACUAGAGUGCGGUAGGGGUGACUGGAAUUCCUGGUGUAGCGGUGGAAUGCG